UGGAAACUCAGCAGAGCCUUUAGGAUCUGGAC
This 32-nucleotide non-coding RNA is filed under the name Homo sapiens (human). Lineage: Eukaryota; Metazoa; Chordata; Mammalia; Primates; Hominidae. The record is from RNAcentral.